Small nuclear RNA from Sorex araneus (European shrew), 107 nucleotides. NCBI's taxonomy places the organism in Eukaryota, Metazoa, Chordata, Mammalia, Eulipotyphla, Soricidae. The record is from Ensembl.
UUGUUCACUUUGGUAACAUAUAUACUAAAAUUUGAAUGAUACAGAGAAGGAUAGCAGAGUCCCUGCGAAAGGAUGACACACAAAUUGGUUAAGUGGUCCAUAUUUUU